This 484-nucleotide ribosomal RNA is filed under the name uncultured bacterium. RNAcentral describes it as "partial 16S ribosomal RNA". It matches the Rfam family "Bacterial small subunit ribosomal RNA", at positions 29 to 507 of the family's 1533-position model. The record is from RNAcentral.
AUUGAACGCUGGCGGCAUGCUUUACACAUGCAAGUCGAACGGCAGCGCGGGCUUCGGCCUGGCGGCGAGUGGCGAACGGGUGAGUAAUACAUCGGAACGUGCCCAGUAGUGGGGGAUAGCUCGGCGAAAGCCGGAUUAAUACCGCAUACGACCUGAGGGUGAAAGCGGGGGAUCUUCGGACCUCGCGCUAUUGGAGCGGCCGAUGGCAGAUUAGCUAGUUGGUGGGGUAAAGGCCUACCAAGGCGACGAUCUGUAGCUGGCCUGAGAGGACGACCAGCCACACUGGGACUGAGACACGGCCCAGACUCCUACGGGAGGCAGCAGUGGGGAAUUUUGGACAAAGGGCGAAAGCCUGAUCCAGCAAUGCCGCGUGUGUGAUGAAGGCCUUCGGGUUGUAAAGCACUUUUGGCGGGAACGAAAAGGACUGUGCCAAUACCACGGUUCGAUGACGGUACCCGCAGAAUAAGCACCGGCUAACUACGUG